This 113-nucleotide non-coding RNA is filed under the name fish gut metagenome. RNAcentral's name for it is "SAM riboswitch (S box leader)". It matches the Rfam family "SAM riboswitch aptamer (S box leader)". Rfam says of the family: The SAM riboswitch is found upstream of a number of genes which code for proteins involved in methionine or cysteine biosynthesis in Gram-positive bacteria. The record is from RNAcentral.
UUCAUCAAGAUCGGUGGAGGGAAAGGCCCUAUGAUACCGUAGCAACCUUUAGAUGUUUAUUCUAAAAGGUGCUAAUUCCUAUAAGUGUUUGUAUAAAAUGCUUAUAAAGAUGA